This 443-nucleotide ribosomal RNA is filed under the name uncultured bacterium. RNAcentral's name for it is "partial 16S ribosomal RNA". It matches the Rfam family "Bacterial small subunit ribosomal RNA", at positions 338 to 795 of the family's 1533-position model. The record is from RNAcentral.
CCUACGGGUGGCAGCAGUGGGGAAUAUUGGGCAAUGGGCGAAAGCCUGACCCAGCAAUGCCGCGUGAAUGAAGAAGGUCUUAGGAUUGUAAAAUUCUGUCCUAUGGGAAGAAAAAAAUGACGGUACCAUAGGAGGAAGCCCCGGCUAACUACGUGCCAGCAGCCUCGGUAAUACGUAGGGGGCGAGCGUUGUCCGGAAUUACUGGGCGUAAAGAGAGCGUAGGCGGGACUACAAGUCUCAUGGGAAAUUCACGGGCUUAAAUUGGGGGCUGCAUGGGAAACUGUAGAGCUUGAGUACAGUAGAGGUAGGCGGAAUGCGUGGUGUAGCGGUGAAAUGCUUAGAUAUCACGAAGAACUCCGAUUGCGAAGGCAGCUUACUAACCUGCCACUGACAUUGAUGCACGAAAGUGUGGGUAUCAAACAGGAUUAGAUACCCUUGUAGUC